UACGUAGGGGGCCAGCGUUGCUCGGAAUUACUGGGCGUAAAGGGUCCGUAGGCGGUGUAGCAAGUCGCUAGUGAAAUCUCUGGGCUUAACCCAGAGGCUGCUAACGAAACUGCUGUGCUAGAGUGUGAGAGAGGCGAGUGGAAUUACGGGUGUAGCGGUGAAAUGCGUAGAUAUCUGGAGGAACACCGGUGGCGAAGGCGGCGUCCUGGACCAACACUGACACUGAGGAGCGAAAGCCAGGGGAGCAAACGGG
Molecule: ribosomal RNA, 253 nt
Filed under: uncultured bacterium
Lineage: Bacteria
Description: partial 16S ribosomal RNA
Rfam family: Bacterial small subunit ribosomal RNA
Source: RNAcentral